UAUCCUCUGAUCCCUUGAGAUAUGGGCCC
RNAcentral lists this non-coding RNA (29 nucleotides) under Homo sapiens (human). The record is from RNAcentral. Lineage: Eukaryota; Metazoa; Chordata; Mammalia; Primates; Hominidae.